This 351-nucleotide long non-coding RNA is filed under the name Nicotiana benthamiana. RNAcentral's name for it is "long non-coding RNA (NBEN_LNC031531)". The record is from RNAcentral. Lineage: Eukaryota; Viridiplantae; Streptophyta; Magnoliopsida; Solanales; Solanaceae.
AAAAGGGUAACCUUAGUUGAUGAUGGGCUAACUAAGGUUACAUAUAUGUAACCAUGGUUACAUGCUUGUGACUCUUGAGUUAUAUAACUCUUGUGACUCUUGGGUUAUGUAACUCUUUUGUUAUAAAGUGGGGGUUAUGGUUCCCACAUUAUGGCAAGACAAGACCCUUCUUCCUCCCAUUGAAUCAAGAGCAAAAACACCAUUGUUGUCUUGCAAAUAAUUGUGGAAAAACAUAUACUAUUUUGAUCAUUGUCAUAUUAUUAUUGUUGUGGGUCAAUUCACAUAUUGAUUAAGCCUUGUGAAGUAUUCUUGUGGUGUCAUACAUCUUCAAGACAUUCUUGAAGGAAGGAU